AUACGGAAGGUCCGGGCGUUAUCCGGAUUUAUUGGGUUUAAAGGGAGCGCAGGCGGAGAUGCAAGCGUGACGUCAAAUUUCGGGGCUCAACCCCGUCUCGCGUCGCGAACUGCGUCCCUUGGUUGCGGGAAGGGGAGGCGGAACUCGUGGUGUAGCGGUGAAAGGCAUAGAUAUCACGAAGAACUCCGAUCGCGAAGGCAGCCUUCCGGCCCGUCAACGACGCUCAUGCUCGAAGGUGCGGGUAUCAAACAGGAUUAGAUACCCUGGUAGUCCGCACAGUAAACGAUGGACACCCGCGGUUUGGCCUGUAUGGCUGAGCCGCCAAGCGAAAGCGUUAAGUGUCCCACCUGGGGAGUACGCCGGCAACGGUGAAACUCAAAGGAAUUGACGGGG
RNAcentral lists this ribosomal RNA (393 nucleotides) under uncultured bacterium. Its description in RNAcentral is "partial 16S ribosomal RNA". It matches the Rfam family "Bacterial small subunit ribosomal RNA", at positions 523 to 918 of the family's 1533-position model. The record is from RNAcentral.